This 67-nucleotide microRNA precursor is filed under the name Pan troglodytes verus polyomavirus 2a. RNAcentral's name for it is "microRNA ptvpv2a-mir-P1 precursor". Its record names the gene ptvpv2a-mir-P1. Lineage: Floreoviria; Shotokuvirae; Cossaviricota; Papovaviricetes; Sepolyvirales; Polyomaviridae. The record is from miRBase by way of RNAcentral.
UCACUUCUGGAAGAACCUCUAGGUACACUGGUUCCGUGUUGUGUGCUGGAUUCUCUUCCUGAAUUGG